AGUUUAUUAGCUCAGUUGGUUAGAGCAUCAUACUAAUAAUACGAAAGUUACAAGUUUGAUUCUUGCAUGGACGG
Non-coding RNA from Glycine max (soybean), 74 nucleotides. The record is from Rfam. NCBI's taxonomy places the organism in Eukaryota, Viridiplantae, Streptophyta, Magnoliopsida, Fabales, Fabaceae.